UCAUGUACAUGUAAGCCACAUCAUAUCAUAAAAUUAAAAGCGUUUUGAAAUCCCGAGGGUUAGCUGAAAGAAUCACUUUUACAAACUUAAAUCAAAAUAUAGCCUAAUAGUAAAAUAAAACAUUCAAGCUUUAGUACCUUGUGCAUAUUUAAGUCUUAAAUAAAAUACUAGUAGUACCUUAUAAAACAUUCAAGCUAAGUACCACACACUUUAUCAAUUUUCCUUAUAAAAUAACCUAGUAGUUAAUUAAGAUAAAAGUCCACUCCAUUCAACGGUUAUGGAAAUGACAACCUUGAUGAAUCUUUCCUUUAUCAACUUCGCAGCAAACUUCUCUUCCCCUAAUAUGUUUCUCUUAGCCUGCAUCAUGAGAGGAAAACACAACUAUAAUUUUAUACUUGAAUAUACACCUCAUGCACCAAAUAGAAAUAAUAAUGUGAUUUUUUUUUGUAGUAGUAGUAAGGAACCACUUUCCGUACUAUGCACCAAAUAGAAAUAAAUAAUAAUAAUACUAUAUACUUAAUGGAUGGAAUGUGAAGACCGAGGAAAUCAUGUAUCUCACUCACCCUCAAGUAAAAUUAUAUAUAAAGCUAAUGGGAAAGAAGAUGAAAUAUAAGUAAAUAAGCUAAUGGAAGAGUUUGUUAAAGAGGGAACUUGUAGGCAUAACUUACAUGGACUAUUCACGAACAAGGAGAAGGACUCCAUCGACUGUUGGGAUCAUCAACUACAAAGUAAUUGGAAACAACAUUAUUG
This 750-nucleotide long non-coding RNA is filed under the name Medicago truncatula (barrel medic). Its description in RNAcentral is "long non-coding RNA (MTRU_LNC000967)". The record is from RNAcentral. Lineage: Eukaryota; Viridiplantae; Streptophyta; Magnoliopsida; Fabales; Fabaceae.